ACAACUUGAGGGGGAGUAAAUGAUGACAGAAUUUUCAUUUUUGGGUAAAAUAUCCCUUUUAAGUUUUUGUUACUAUGUCAUGACUUCAGUUUAGUACAAAAUUAACUGUUAAAGUUGCAAACAAGUAGUGAAAAAAGCAAUACAUGCAAAGCGUUGCUCACACUGUAACUGUUUAUUGCUUCAGUUUUAUUAACUGGACUGUUUAUUGCUGUAACAAGAACAUUGUGUCAUUGAAUAGAAUUAAUAACAGAUCACGAGUGAGGAGGAAGUAAGAUGUGUUAACUAACCAAACAGAGGAAGCACACUGCAGUACUUCGCAUUCCCCGAGAGCACAAUAGAGAGGUUGAUUCUGGGGCUGAAAUGGCCCUGAAUAUGCGGAAGGAGGAAAAGGGUGGUGCUGAGUCAGCUGCUCUCCCAUGGGAGUCUGGAAUUAGAGGUGGUUUCUGAGAAUCAGCAAAUAAAUGUAGAUAAGCGAUAAAUGUUUAUAAACAUGAAUAUUUGGUGGUUUGGUGGAGACCUUGGGAUGUAGGUUUACUUGUUUCUGGUAAAGGGAAAGUAAAUUCAAGCAGUUACUGGGUAAUGAAAUGAUGCAGCACAUGACUAACAUGUGAUCAGAGUCGGAAUUAGCAGAAGGGAAGAUUUCAUAACUGAAAGAUCUUUGCAAAAUCAGUGACACACAGUAUUGCCCUUAAAUUUAAAUGUUCUUGUAAAAAAUAAUUGCUCUUUAUAGUUUUGAAUGCACACUUCUAUAGUGUACUUCAAAUCUUAAAAGUAUAUUUAAAAAACUGUAGGCCUGCUUGCAGAUAAUAUAAUAUGAAUGAAAUUAAAGACGACUUAAGUGAACUUAAAGAGAGUAAACAAUGUUUGACAAUGUUUCUUAGGACACUUAAGUACACUUUUAUAAAUAUGCACUUUUUGUCAAAUUAAAAGUUUUACAUAUCUGCUCUUUGAUAAUUAGAACCUACCAGUUUAUUGAUGAAAGUAUAUGAUAGUGAAAUAUGAAGGCCAAGUAUGGUAACCCACAAUAUGGGUCAAAGCAACUAAUAAGGUCAAUUGCAACAUUCUGCAACAUUGUACUAAACUGCAUUAUUCAGGCAAGUGAUUUCCUACAUAGCUUUGCUAUUUUUGUGUCUCUUGUAUCUCUUUAUGCUCUCUUUCUCUUCUUUUUAACCCAUACUCAGAAUUUGUCCUCUGCAUUUAACCUAUCCAAGUUUUUGCACACACAUAGGAGUAGUGAGUAGUGAACACACAAACACCCGGAGCAAUGUGCAGCCAUUUUGCUAUGACGCCCGGAGAGAGAUUGGGGGUUAGAAUUGCUCAAGCGCACCUCAGUCAUUUCCUGCCGGUAUUGAGACACGAACCCGCAAUCUUCAGGUUACCGGUCUUACUUUCUAACCAUUAGGCCACAACUGCGAAUAAAAGAUCCCACCGAGAUUUGAGCUCAGAUCACUGGAUUCAGAGUGCUAACCAUUACACCAUGGAGCCAGCCAGGGGCUCUUCUCAUGGACCCCGGACGAGUACACACACACAGUUUAGGUCCAAUAAAGCCACGCCUCCAUCCAUGAUUGAUUGAUUGGCAGUCUGUCUCUGGAUAAAAGCUUUGCAAAUAAAAGAUUAUACUUCAUUUACCAUCAGUACCACUCUACACAAGACACUCUAUAGGAAUACUCCAACAUCCAGUGAAUUUUAAUCCAGUUCCAGUUUCUUCAGGAUGAGGCACAAUGAGUUGCAUUACACCGGGGCAGUAUUGUGCUUCCUACUGUUUUCCGCAACAGGUGCUCAGCCCUUGAGCAUUUUAAAAAUUGUUGAGGGUCUCCAGUCAACCCCACAGACCUACCCUACACCCCUUUAUUCAUUUUCCCUCUGCAUGGAGAUCACCAACCGCGUCUUCAACGACUCCCUCCUUAACAAAACCUCACCGCAGUACAAGCGGAUGUAUGCCGAGGUUUCUGGAGUUUUGGACAUGGCCUUUAAUUGCUCUAACUGUGACACGAGAGAGACUUACAGAGGUGUAUCAAAUAUAGAGUUCAGGAGCGAGCCUAUGAUGGCGAAUUGUACCAUUCAGUUUCAGACCGUUUUUAUCAACCAUGUUGUGAUCAAAUAUUUGUUCCUGAGAGCCAUAGAUAAUAAUAAUAGUACUCAACUAAAUGGUCUUGCACUCAACAGACAGUACACUGAUGAAACAGUCACACCUGCCUGGCUUUUUGAAAGACCCACAACUCCUGUGGAAACAGCAGCUCCCCUUGUAGGAAGUGGUGGUCUUUGGCUUCCUGGUUGGGCCAUUGCAUUGCUGGUGUUAGCAUGCAUCAUCAUACUGCUUCUCCUCAUCCUCCUAAUACUGAUGUGCUGUUGGUGCUGCAGAAGAAGAAACAAAAAGGAAGAAACAACCACCAUAGUAGAACAUGCACCUUAUCAGAGGACAUCUUUCAAAGAACAUCUUGCCAAUCCCACAUAUAUGCCACACACACCUGAGAGAAGCCCAAACUACCCAGUCCUGGGAGAGCCGGAUGUACAGCAUGCAGGGAUGUACACGAUGAACCCUCAGAGAUGAUAACCACAACACCACUAUAAGAGAGAGCCAUGGAAUAACUGAUGCUAUGAAGGUUCAGAAUGGUAAAGCGAUUUCUCUCGUAGAAGAUGCUGGUUUCUUCAAAAAGAUUCUAGAAAUGUGGACUUGUCAUCAUUACCAUAUGUAAUAUAAGUAUUAUAACCAAUUUUAACAGAGGAUGUAACUUUAUUUAUUCUGCACUAUUUAUGUUACACAGAUAUGGGGAUUUGGGUCUGUGAACUUUUGCAUCUCAGCAACUCAGUAUAACAUACCAGGGUUAGUUGUCACACUUUUUAGGGGGUGCCUGGCACAGGAUGAUCAUAUUUGGAAAUACACUCUGCUAUAGGAUAUUCAUUAGCAUGCUGAUGAAAUGUACUCAAAAUAAUAUAUAAAACAGCAGGUUACCCAAGAUAAAAACCAUUGGUUUGGCCAACAGGAAUUGCAAUUAUGAAAUUGUAUCAAAUAAAUCAUAUGUAAAACACAUGCAACAAUCACUUCCCUCUGUGACAACUUGCCCCGGUCUCUUUGAUAUCUUAGGCUACAGAAGAAGAGGUUGGCUUUAAUGUAUCUCCAGAUUACAAUGUUAUCAAUUCAUAAACAUCUUUUCAUUUGAAAUCUGUAUUCAUGUUAUUUGUAUGGACAUAUACAAUCAUUUACACUUUCUGAGGGAAGAACUGUUGUAAUAUUUAAUGCAAUUUAAAAUUCAACAAAACAAUAUAUUACACAAUACAGUAUAUAUACCACUUACAUUAUAAAUAAAUUCU
Ctenopharyngodon idella (grass carp) is the source of this 3312-nucleotide long non-coding RNA. RefSeq lists it as uncharacterized. NCBI's taxonomy places the organism in Eukaryota, Metazoa, Chordata, Actinopteri, Cypriniformes, Xenocyprididae. The transcript has 9 exons. The record is from RefSeq and is a predicted model, not a curated record.